This 440-nucleotide ribosomal RNA is filed under the name uncultured bacterium. RNAcentral's name for it is "partial 16S ribosomal RNA". It matches the Rfam family "Bacterial small subunit ribosomal RNA", at positions 338 to 795 of the family's 1533-position model. The record is from RNAcentral.
CCUACGGGAGGCAGCAGUAGGGAAUAUUGCUCAAUGGGGGAAACCCUGAAGCAGCAACGCCGCGGGGAGGAUGAAGGUUUUCGGAUUGUAAACUCCUUUUGUUAGAGAAGAUAAUGACGGUAUCUAACGAAUAAGCACCGGCUAACUCCGUGCCAGCAGCCGCGGUAAUACGGAGGGUGCAAGCGUUACUCGGAAUCACUGGGCGUAAAGAGGGCGUAGGCGGGAUAGCAAGUCAGAUGUGAAAUCCUAUGGCUUAACCAUAGAACUGCAUUUGAAACUGUUAUUCUAGAGUAUGGGAGAGGUAGGUGGAAUUCUUGGUGUAGGGGUAAAAUCCGUAGAGAUCAAGAGGAAUACUCAUUGCGAAGGCGACCUGCUAGAACAUAACUGACGCUGAUGCGCGAAAGCGUGGGGAGCAAACAGGAUUAGAUACCCCUGUAGUC